UGGUUGUGUUUGGUGGGUUUUGAGUUUUGAGUUUUGAGUUUUGGAAGCUCUCCUUUUUUAGGCUCCAUCUCUUAUUUUGGUACAUAUAUUCUACCUUUAUUGGUGCUUUCUUGAUGGAAAAUUGGAGCGCACCAGGUACAAAACUACUUUUUAAAAUUGCUACUACACUUGUGUUCUACUCUGUUUUUUGGGAAGGGGGGAGUACAUACAUACCCACUCACUCUGGGUUUUGGGUUUUUGCAUGUACAUAUGCAUGUAAAUAACCAGUAUUUUUAUACCUUAGCUUAACAGGUUUCUUUUUUUU
Molecule: long non-coding RNA, 304 nt
Filed under: Cucumis sativus (cucumber)
Lineage: Eukaryota; Viridiplantae; Streptophyta; Magnoliopsida; Cucurbitales; Cucurbitaceae
Description: long non-coding RNA (CSAT_LNC001565)
Source: RNAcentral